UGCGUGCGUGCGUGCAUGCGUGCGUGUGUGUGUGUGUGUGUGAUAUUGUGAGAUACCAAGUAUCUAUGUUAUGAAAGGUAGUAUGAUAGAUGGAUCUAUGUUAGCAACAACAGGUCAACAUUAACCAGCUGUGGCACAGAAUGCUAGUUUACAUUGUAUCAAUCCACUUCACAUAUAGUCACGUUCUUAUGUCAGGCGGUGGCUACAGAAACAUAUUCAUUACAUAUACACACCUUCUUGCCAAGCACAACAAGAAGUACUAGCCUAUUCUGUAUUUCGCAACACCUUCAAAACACAGAUAAAGUAAACCUCAGGGAGAAACACAGCCCCAAAUAUUACAUCUUCACUAUCCAUGGAGAAGACAGCUAGGACUAUAACACUUCUUUUCAACAAUGAACUUUGCUAUUUCUGAUUAUUAUUCAUAUACUACAAAGCCAAAACUGCAGCAUAGGAAAUUGAUGUCCACUAUACUAAACAUAUGUAUCCUCUACAUCAGCAGUCAACAAAAGACGAACUUGACAACCUACAGAAUUGGUAACAGAAUGGCAAAUGUGUGGAUAAUAACAACUUGAAGUAUCUUUCAUUGUAACAAUGAAAAUAAAGGACCAUUUCAACAAAUAAACAA
Long non-coding RNA from Octopus bimaculoides (California two-spot octopus), 625 nucleotides. RefSeq lists it as uncharacterized. NCBI's taxonomy places the organism in Eukaryota, Metazoa, Mollusca, Cephalopoda, Octopoda, Octopodidae. The record is from RefSeq and is a predicted model, not a curated record.